This is a long non-coding RNA of Cuculus canorus (common cuckoo), 2017 nucleotides long. RefSeq lists it as uncharacterized. The transcript has 14 exons. The record is from RefSeq and is a predicted model, not a curated record. NCBI's taxonomy places the organism in Eukaryota, Metazoa, Chordata, Aves, Cuculiformes, Cuculidae.
GCUGUGAACUCCCGGGAGCGUAUGGUGAACACACAGCUCCGACCCAGCAGGCUCCCUGUCCAGAGGGCAGUCUCUGCGUGUUGCAAUACUAUUGUUAUCGUGGCAUCUGUAUCAGGAUUGUAUAACCGUCUCCAUUGAUAAAGCAGCCUGGUGUGAGCAGCAACGCAAGUGGCCCUUGGUGUGAUGCAGUUUCUCGAAUAUGUAGUUACAAGCUGACUAAUAAGUCCUCAAAGUUGUACCCAGCUUUGCAGAAAACAGGCCUCCUAUCACUGCAGUGAAAUUUUUUCAGACGAUAUCAAGAACCUCCUGAAAGGAUUACAAGGUCUUUGGUCUGUCUUCUGUGCUGAAUCCUGACCAAGUGCCGUUGCUGCCUGGCAAGAGGGAUAAAGGAAGCUGCUGUGCCUGGCAAGAUCAUGUUUUACAUUGGCAAACUUUUCAGUAUCUCCAGUCAACAACCUGUGAUCUAACGGAUGGAAAGUGCACAGCCAGGCUCAUCACAAAGAAGCACCCCUACUGUGAUACUUAAAAGUGGGAAGUCCUUGAAGAAUGCACUCAGCUGUAGAAUAAGCCAAUACAGCCUCCGGUGGGCUGGCAGAGAUCUCUGUAAAUGGAUUUGCCAGAAAGGAAGAAAGUUAUUCCGUAGCUUGCAACUUACAGAAGAUAUGGAAAACCCUAUAAAUUUUCAAGAUAUGUCUCCAAAGAUGCAAUGGCAGCUGUGUGGACAGAGCAGAGACACACUCUGAACUUCCUGACAUGGAUGAUGAUAGGGCUGUGUUCAAGGCCACACAGGGGUCUCAAGGACUUUGCUGCCUUAGGACUCCAUUAGCCCUCAGCUGGGUUUUUUGCACCUUGGCCACUUUUGUGUUGUCACUGCAAUGUGGUCUGCACCUGUGUUAGCUGGAUGUGCUCCUGUCCCUUGGGCGAGUUACAGCACCUCAGGCCAUCGGAGGUCCCACCUGGAGAUGUGGGCUCUCAGACCAUCAAGACCUUGUUGAAGAAAAUUUCUGCAAUCUUUUUCUCUUCAUAUGUACAUUCUGAGUCAGAUAUGCCUCUCCAGAAACCUUUCCCAAAAGAUCCAUCGGUGAAGAUCCAAUUGCAAAAUCGAAGUCUUAGUCUGCCGAAAUGGUGGUGUUUUUCAACAUAGAAAAUAAGUGCAAAGUGCACGUGCGUUGGCUAGAGCUGACUGAAUGGAUUUCCUCUGGGUGAUGAAGUCUUUUUCCUGUAGACUCACCUUGGUUGCUUCUCUCCAUUAAUGAACCUUUUCCUUUAAGUCAUCUUGGGAAGCAGAAAAAACCUCCUAUAAGAGAUGAGGAUUCACAGUACAUCUAUACAGGCAGGUCUGUAUGCUCUUUGAGAACUCCAUGGGCUGCAUGUUCUUUCCGUUACCCCAUGCACUAUCUUAAGAAACAGUCCUGCUGUCUUCAGGAACAUAGAAAACAAAAUAAAAAAACAUCUUUGCCUCUGGUAUAACGGAGCAUUCCUCGUUGCCCUUUGUCUAAAGAAGCCAAUCCAUGGAAAUUGUUUGGACCCAAUUUUCUGGAGUACCAACUGAAUCUCAGUACACGUCUGUGUAACGCAGUAACUCAUCUGCUGAUGGAGAGCUUCCUUUUUUUUCAGCUUUACAUAUUAUUUUUCUGAAGCAUAUGUUGAAUGGGAUGCUGUGCAGCUGAAAGAUCACACGUCUCAAAUGGCUCACUCGGUGUUCUCAUGCUGAACUGACUGGCUGAGCUGCAGCUGUCUGACAAGGGGAAUGGUCGCUUUUCUCUCAGAACACUGCUCAGCUGAAGCCUUUCAAACUGGAUUGGAUCAAGGGAUAAUUAUUCCUACUACAGUACGUUUUGCUGAAAUCAGGCAUCUGCUGUUGGAUGUAGGACACAUAUUGGCAAACUGGACCUUUGGCUUCCUCCAGGAUGGCUGUUCCUAUAGUUCCACCCAAAAAGACCCUACAAACAAAACACAAACCGUCAUUCAAAAUACUACAUAACAAGAAACAAUUUUGUUAGCAAGAGUCGAUCCU